UGCUUUGGGAUUACAUUAUUUUCCUUCUCUCACCUUUGAAUGGCAGAACCAGAAAAGCAAUCUGUAUGGAAAGGGGUUGAGGCUGUUUAAAAAAUACUCACUCUGGACCCUGUGUCCUCCAGACUUAGCGGUUUGUCCCCUUUCCUGGGUGACAAUGAUGCUGAGACGCUGAACAACAUCCUGGCCUGCAGGUGGGACUUAGAAGAUGAAGAAUUUCAGGACAUCUCAGAGGAGGCCAAGGAGUUCAUCUCCAAGCUUCUGAUUAAGGAGAAGAGUUGGCGAAUAAGUGCAAGCGAAGCGCUCAAGCACCCCUGGCUGUCAGACCACAAGCUCCACUCCAGACUCAAUGCCCAGAAGAAGAAGAAGAAUCGUGGCUCUGAUGCCCAGGACUUUGUGACCAAAUAGUCUACAGGAGGCACCCAUUUGAAAGGAAAACUGCUGCGGUUGCUGCUGCUACGAGAAAAUUUUUUGAAAAAUCAGCAGUUCUGAUGCCUUGACCCUUAUGAUGAUUGGCAGUCUUAGCAGGGGGAGCCCUCGACCCUGAAUUUGAACUUGAACUGGAGUGCCUCUGCUGCGUUCAGAGGAUGCCCAGCGCUGCGGUCUGCUCUCAGGGCGCAGACACAUCCCUGCACCCGGUGGUAGUGACGUUGGGAAGAUGUUCCCUGCCAUCUUGAGAGUUUUUACUUCUAAAAAAUUUUUUUUGAUCUUAGUCACUGGGGGAGGGGCGCAUUGUGUCUGCUAUUUCUCAGAUGACUACAGCCAUGACACUUGAGAUGUACCAGAGAUUUUAAAACUGGAGGAUGCAUUUGGAGGGAGGAAGCUACUUCUAGCCAUUAGACUAUGCCUUUUGAAGGGGCAAUUAGAUGGCCAGAAAGAAUUCUAACUCCCAUGCACCCUUGAAGACUUAGUUUCUCAGACUCCGUCAUUUUGUCUACGGUCACAUGACUACAAUGGAUAAAUAAUUUGCUUGCUGGAACAGAAGCUGUCUUUGAAUUCCCCAACAAGAGGCAUCAGCCACUGUGUCUUUCAUUUAUUCUUAAUUGUCCCCAAAGCGCGUUUUCUUCCAAGUAGCUGAUUCUGUUUUUCACAUCUGUACUCCCUGCACCCUUCUGACUGACAGUUCAUCCCCACAAAACACAUUGGUUUUGAGAGGUGAUGCAAAAAGUAUCUGUUUAUGGUUGGUCUUUGAAAUUCUGACCUUUGGAAUAAUGUCAACAGUCACAAGAGGUUUCCUCAAGCCCCAGUUGUCAACGAAAAGAGACAGAUCUGCACCUCCUGGAGCAAGACAGCACUGAGCUUUUAAUGUUGAAGUGACUUGGGAAGUAACCUUCAAGCUUCUGGGUAAACACAAACAAACAUUGACAAAGACCAAGUCCAGUCUCUCGCCCUGCUGUCUCACGGGACUCAGUGGGGGUAAAGAAAUCGCAGUUGGGCACCAGAGGUGACGGCAACUCUGCGAGUUCACCUGCCGGACGUGAGAACGUUGGAAUGUUCCAGUUGGAAGGUUCCUAUGCCUAGCCCAUGUGCCAUUUCACAGCAGAUAUGUUAGAAGGGAAAUGGUCCUGCUGUAGAUAGUUAUGGGGCCCAGAAAGGCACUGGGCUUUAAAGAGCAAAACGACUGUGUCGUUUCCACAUGAGGGAGAGGCAAGGAAAAGCCCCACAAAAUUCCCAUUACCCGCUCAACUCCAAGCUCACCACCCAGCUUCAUGAACUUUCCUCACAUUUUCCAUUUCCAAAUAACUGUUGCGUUGAAUCAGCUGUGUUAAUGCCUUUAUUCUUUGCGUUUUGUUUGUUUGUUUGUUUUUGUUUUGACGGAGUCUUGCUCUGUCGUGAGGCUGGAGUGCAGUGGCACCAUCUCAGUUCACUGCAACCUCCGCCUCCCCGGUUCAAGCGAUU
This is a non-coding RNA of Chlorocebus sabaeus (green monkey), 1896 nucleotides long. NCBI's taxonomy places the organism in Eukaryota, Metazoa, Chordata, Mammalia, Primates, Cercopithecidae. The record is from RefSeq and is a predicted model, not a curated record.